Molecule: long non-coding RNA, 412 nt
Organism: Lolium rigidum
Lineage: Eukaryota; Viridiplantae; Streptophyta; Magnoliopsida; Poales; Poaceae
Exons: 3
Source: RefSeq, a predicted model, not a curated record
AAUCCGUCGUUGCCCAAGAACUACCGGUGCACUGCCCAAUUCCUGCAGGUCGACUACCCAAAUUUCUGCAGGUGGCUUCCCAGCCGCAGUGGUUGCCCUGCUGCAGCCUCACGGACUGCUUUGUUAUCCCCUUGGCGCUCUCAGUUCGUCGCCCCCACCGCUUAUGGUUGGACUGCUCAAUGCUCUGUUAUCCCUCUCAGGCUUCAGUCCGCACCACCGCGGCCACCGAGCAGCGAUGUUCCCGGCUGGGCGGCCAUGCCCCCAAGCGGUAAUAUCCCAUGUAGAGUUGAUAGAUGCUGAAACAUCAGGUUAACACCACGGAUAUGUCUGUUGUAACCUUUGAAGGCUUGGGGAUAUGCGUGAGCAAGGAUGGCACCACACCUGUAUGUCAGAUUGAUAUGUUCUUUUGUAA